RNAcentral lists this ribosomal RNA (460 nucleotides) under uncultured bacterium. RNAcentral describes it as "partial 16S ribosomal RNA". It matches the Rfam family "Bacterial small subunit ribosomal RNA", at positions 338 to 795 of the family's 1533-position model. The record is from RNAcentral.
CCUACGGGUGGCUGCAGUGAGGAAUAUUGGUCAAUGGGCGUGAGCCUGAACCAGCCAAGCCGCGUGAGGGAUGACGGUUCUAUGGAUCGUAAACCUCUUUUAUCAGGGAAUAAAGUGCGGGACGUGUCCCGUUUUGUAUGUACCUUAUGAAUAAGGAUCGGCUAACUCCGUGCCAGCAGCCGGGGUAAUACGGAGGAUCCGAGCGUUAUCCGGAUUUAUUGGGUUUAAAGGGUGCGUAGGCGGCCUUUUAAGUCAGCGGGGAAAGUUUGUGGCGUAACCAUAGCAUGGCGGUUGAAACUGGGAGGCUUGAGUAGGUGAGAGGCAGGCGGAAUGCGUGGGGGAGCGGUGAAAUGCAUAGAUAUCACGCAGAACUCCGAUUGCGAAGGCAGCCUGCCAAGCCAUGACUGACGCUGAUGCACGAAAGCGUGGGGAUCAAACAGGAUUAGAUACCCGGGUAGUC